This 369-nucleotide unclassified non-coding RNA is filed under the name soil metagenome. RNAcentral describes it as "partial contains 5.8S ribosomal RNA, internal transcribed spacer 2, and large subunit ribosomal RNA". The stretch from base 1 to 120 matches the Rfam family "5.8S ribosomal RNA", at positions 35 to 154 of the family's 154-position model. The record is from RNAcentral.
GAUGAAGAACGUAGUGAAAUGCGAUAAGUAAUGUGAAUUGCAGAAUCUCGUGAAUCAUCGAAUCUUUGAACGCACAUUGCGCCCUAUGGAAUUCUGUAGGGCAUGCCUGUCUGAGCGUCAGCAGCAAAAAAAUCAAAAUCUUUGUAGGUAAAGAUUUGGAUUUGGUUAAGAGAUGUAAUCUGUAAAGAACCGGUUACUCUUUUGAAAUUUAAAGGCAGUAUUGAUCAAUCCAACUGUAAACGUGAUAAAACAUUUCGUUUUAUUGUUAGGAAUGAGCUUUUUGCUUGCCUAUAAACCCACUCAUCUUCAUGGGUGACCUCAGAUCAGGUAGGGAUACCCGCUGAACUUAAGCAUAUCAAUAAGCGGAGA